GGUGUUUUGAAGUGGGGUUGUAUGAGGUUCUUAUCCAUAGUAGGUGUAUUACCUACAGUAGAUGACAGUCGGGGCGCCCCCAGCAUCAAGUAACAGACAAGAGCACCGACACCAUAUCAAAGCAAUACAGUGCUGUAGACGGGGACGGCAGAAAAA
Sebastes umbrosus (honeycomb rockfish) is the source of this 156-nucleotide long non-coding RNA. RefSeq lists it as uncharacterized. The transcript is spliced from 2 exons. Lineage: Eukaryota; Metazoa; Chordata; Actinopteri; Perciformes; Sebastidae. The record is from RefSeq and is a predicted model, not a curated record.